GGCCCGGGCCCGGGCAGCAGCGCCGCAGUCACACACUCGCUGCACCAGUCAGGCCUUUACUGGAUACAGCUGCGCCUCGUCAAAAUACCCCGUGAGUAAUGACCGCUAGCACAUUCACACACGUGUUUACCGCAUUACCCCGGGACGCCCUGGAACGCAGGCAACGAGCUCAUUUAAAAAGAAAGGAUCGUAAUAGCCUGAAGAGAGUUAAACUGUGGAACUGACAGCAGCUAGAUGUCUACUGAAGUAACCAGCCAUCUGCAGGGACACAAGGCUUUGUCCAGCAUGGGUGUGCCUGCAUGACACUGGGCCACCUUUCCCCAGUUUGUCUCACCUAUUACAAUGCAGACAAGACAAGGAAAAUGAAGGCAGCAGCAUUAAAGGAAGAAAAGACAGAAACCCUUUUCAGACACUUUUAAAAACAAGACACAAACAUCCGGAACAUUUCCUUUGCAUCACUGCAAAAGUAACCCUAAAUGCCAAUUCUUCUUCAUUAAAACAGUGAAAAUACUUUUACAAAUUUAAACACACAGUCUCUGUUAAGAAAACUUCCACUGCAAUGGUGGAAUAUGCCUUUAGCUAUUUAAAAACCAAAACCACCC
Vidua chalybeata is the source of this 602-nucleotide long non-coding RNA. RefSeq lists it as uncharacterized. The transcript is spliced from 3 exons. The record is from RefSeq and is a predicted model, not a curated record. Lineage: Eukaryota; Metazoa; Chordata; Aves; Passeriformes; Viduidae.